This 371-nucleotide ribosomal RNA is filed under the name Arthrobacter sp. CT23. RNAcentral's name for it is "bacterial SSU rRNA". It matches the Rfam family "Bacterial small subunit ribosomal RNA", at positions 1014 to 1384 of the family's 1533-position model. The record is from RNAcentral. Lineage: Bacteria; Bacillati; Actinomycetota; Actinomycetes; Micrococcales; Micrococcaceae.
UCCCCUUUGGGGCCGGUUCACAGGUGGUGCAUGGUUGUCGUCAGCUCGUGUCGUGAGAUGUUGGGUUAAGUCCCGCAACGAGCGCAACCCUCGUUCCAUGUUGCCAGCGCGUAAUGGCGGGGACUCAUGGGAGACUGCCGGGGUCAACUCGGAGGAAGGUGGGGACGACGUCAAAUCAUCAUGCCCCUUAUGUCUUGGGCUUCACGCAUGCUACAAUGGCCGGUACAAAGGGUUGCGAUACUGUGAGGUGGAGCUAAUCCCAAAAAGCCGGUCUCAGUUCGGAUUGGGGUCUGCAACUCGACCCCAUGAAGUCGGAGUCGCUAGUAAUCGCAGAUCAGCAACGCUGCGGUGAAUACGUUCCCGGGUCUUGU